UCUCGAUUGGUCUAGUGGUCAGGAUACCUGCUUGUCAUUCGUCGAUGAAAAAUCGUGGAACAAGCCGCAGGUGGCCGGGGUUCGAUUCCCCGAUCGAGAG
Molecule: non-coding RNA, 100 nt
Organism: Xylaria curta
Lineage: Eukaryota; Fungi; Ascomycota; Sordariomycetes; Xylariales; Xylariaceae
Source: the annotation of a GenBank genome assembly